RNAcentral lists this ribosomal RNA (446 nucleotides) under uncultured bacterium. RNAcentral's name for it is "partial 16S ribosomal RNA". It matches the Rfam family "Bacterial small subunit ribosomal RNA", at positions 338 to 795 of the family's 1533-position model. The record is from RNAcentral.
CCUACGGGGUGCAGCAGUCGAGAAUCAUUCACAAUGGGGGAAACCCUGAUGGUGCGACGCCGCGUGGGGGAAUGAAGGUCUUCGGAUUGUAAACCCCUGUCAUGUGGGAGUAAAUUAAAAAGAUAGUACCACAAGAGGAAGAGACGGCUAACUCUGUGCCAGCAGCCGCGGUAAUACAGAGGUCUCAAGCGUUGUUCGGAAUCACUGGGCGUAAAGCGUGCGUAGGCUGUUUCGUAAGUCGUGUGUGAAAGGGGCGGGCUCAACCCGCGGACGGCACAUGAUACUGCGAGACUAGAGUAAUGGAGGGGGAACCGGAAUGCUCGGUGUAGCAGUGAAAUGCGUAGAUAUCGAGAGGAACACUCGUGGUGAAGGCGGGUUCCUGGACAUUAACUGACGCUGAGGCACGAAGGCCAGGGGAGCGAAAGGGAUUAGAUACCCGAGUAGUC